GUUUGAUCCUGGCUCAGAACGAACGCUGGCGGCAGCCUAACACAUGCAAGUCGAGCGCGCCCUUCGGGGUGAGCGGCGGACGGGUUAGUAACGCGUGGGAACGUGCCCAGAUCUAAGGAAUAGCCACUGGAAACGGUGAGUAAUACCUUAUACGCCCUUCGGGGGAAAGGAUUUAUCGGAUUUGGAUCGGCCCGCGUUAGAUUAGGUACGUUGGUGGGGUAAUGGCCUACCAAGCCUACGAUCUAUAGCUGGUUUUAGAGGAUGAUCAGCAACACUGGGACUGAGACACGGCCCAGACUCCUACGGGAGGCAGCAGUGGGGAAUCUUGGACAAUGGGGGCAACCCUGAUCCAGCCAUGCCGCGUGAGUGAUGAAGGCCUUAGGGUCGUAAAGCUCUUUCGCCUGUGAUGAUAAUGACAGUAGCAGGUAAAGAAACCCCGGCUAACUCCGUG
RNAcentral lists this ribosomal RNA (451 nucleotides) under uncultured Ruegeria sp. RNAcentral's name for it is "bacterial SSU rRNA". It matches the Rfam family "Bacterial small subunit ribosomal RNA", at positions 11 to 507 of the family's 1533-position model. Lineage: Bacteria; Pseudomonadati; Pseudomonadota; Alphaproteobacteria; Rhodobacterales; Roseobacteraceae. The record is from RNAcentral.